CAGUAGCCACGGUAAUACGAAGGGUGCAAGCGUUACUCGGAAUUACUGGGCGUAAAGCGUGCGUAGGUGGUGGUUUAAGUCCGUUGUGAAAGCCCUGGGCUCAACCUGGGAAUUGCAGUGGAUACUGGGUCACUAGAGUGUGGUAGAGGAUAGUGGAAUUUCCGGUGUAGCAGUGAAAUGCGUAGAGAUCGGAAGGAACAUCUGUGGCGAAGGCGGCCAUCUGGGACAACACUGACGCUGAGGCACGAAAGCGUGGGGAGCAAACAGGAUUAGAUACCCCCGUAGUCCCUGUCUCUUAUAC
RNAcentral lists this ribosomal RNA (301 nucleotides) under uncultured bacterium. RNAcentral describes it as "partial 16S ribosomal RNA". It matches the Rfam family "Bacterial small subunit ribosomal RNA", at positions 509 to 807 of the family's 1533-position model. The record is from RNAcentral.